RNAcentral lists this ribosomal RNA (526 nucleotides) under Fusarium oxysporum. RNAcentral describes it as "eukaryotic LSU rRNA". The stretch from base 169 to 322 matches the Rfam family "5.8S ribosomal RNA". Lineage: Eukaryota; Fungi; Ascomycota; Sordariomycetes; Hypocreales; Nectriaceae. The record is from RNAcentral.
AACCUGCGGAGGGAUCAUUACCGAGUUUACAACUCCCAAACCCCUGUGAACAUACCACUUGUUGCCUCGGCGGAUCAGCCCGCUCCCGGUAAAACGGGACGGCCCGCCAGAGGACCCCUAAACUCUGUUUCUAUAUGUAACUUCUGAGUAAAACCAUAAAUAAAUCAAAACUUUCAACAACGGAUCUCUUGGUUCUGGCAUCGAUGAAGAACGCAGCAAAAUGCGAUAAGUAAUGUGAAUUGCAGAAUUCAGUGAAUCAUCGAAUCUUUGAACGCACAUUGCGCCCGCCAGUAUUCUGGCGGGCAUGCCUGUUCGAGCGUCAUUUCAACCCUCAAGCACAGCUUGGUGUUGGGACUCGCGUUAAUUCGCGUUCCCCAAAUUGAUUGGCGGUCACGUCGAGCUUCCAUAGCGUAGUAGUAAAACCCUCGUUACUGGUAAUCGUCGCGGCCACGCCGUUAAACCCCAACUUCUGAAUGUUGACCUCGGAUCAGGUAGGAAUACCCGCUGAACUUAAGCAUAUCAAUAA